GAAAUAGUCGGUGUGCCCAUACUUCUUGCGACAAUUAUUAUCAAGGGGAUGGAGACGAGCGUAGCACUUACGGCCACCACCUGUAUCAUCUGUGUUGUACACCAGGGUGGUAGCUCUUGCUGAUGAAGGAUUAUGUCGGGCCCAUCCGGUCCGCACAACCGACUGCCAUGGAAUUGAGUUGAUUACGUUGUUGAUGUUACUGAGGUACAUUUGGCAGCACUAUGGGUGUCCUUGGGUUUGCUCUGCAAGUAAAAAAAAACAAAAAAAUCAAUUGUAAUUUUAGAAUAGAAGCAAAUAAUAAAUAUACCAUAAAAUGCUCA
Long non-coding RNA from Stomoxys calcitrans (stable fly), 320 nucleotides. RefSeq lists it as uncharacterized. The transcript has 2 exons. The record is from RefSeq and is a predicted model, not a curated record. Lineage: Eukaryota; Metazoa; Arthropoda; Insecta; Diptera; Muscidae.